AUGAGUUGUCAAUAAGCGAAAGA
This 23-nucleotide small RNA is filed under the name Arabidopsis thaliana (thale cress). RNAcentral describes it as "ATSL127530". The record is from RNAcentral. Lineage: Eukaryota; Viridiplantae; Streptophyta; Magnoliopsida; Brassicales; Brassicaceae.